Molecule: small nucleolar RNA, 127 nt
Organism: Equus asinus (donkey)
Lineage: Eukaryota; Metazoa; Chordata; Mammalia; Perissodactyla; Equidae
Source: Ensembl
AGUUCAUUUCAAAGAGGGCUGUGGGCUGUGAAACCAGGAGCUCUUAACUCUGUGACGAAAGAUUGAAGUUCUUCAUUGGAUGCCAUAAUCACUCAACAGUGCUAAGUUUUUCUGAGGAGAUACAAAA